RNAcentral lists this long non-coding RNA (234 nucleotides) under Capsicum annuum. RNAcentral describes it as "long non-coding RNA (CANN_LNC000918)". The record is from RNAcentral. Lineage: Eukaryota; Viridiplantae; Streptophyta; Magnoliopsida; Solanales; Solanaceae.
AUUUUCUUGUUUUUUAGUUUGAUUUAACAAUACAGUUAAGUUAAAAUAGUGUUAAUUGGUAAUGAAUAAUCCUCCAAGUUUUAGUUUAGGAAUUACUCAGUUAGAUGCAACUGUACAAGAUAUUCCACUUGGAUUUGUUUCUGCUACAUUUGAUGAACAGGAUCUUGAUUGGGCAGAGAAUCGCUCAAAGUACAAAAACGACCCCGUUACAAUGAAGAAACUGAAGGAUAAGGC